UACGGGGGGGGCAAGCGUUGUUCGGAAUUACUGGGCGUAAAGGGCUCGUAGGCGGCCAACUAAGUCAGACGUGAAAUCCCUCGGCUUAACCGGGGAACUGCGUCUGAUACUGGAUGGCUUGAGUGUGGGAGAGGAAUGCGGAAUUCCAGGUGUAGCGGUGAAAUGCGUAGAUAUCUGGAGGAAUACCGGUGGCGAAGGCGGCAUUCUGGACCAUUACUGACGCUGAGGAGCGAAAGCCAGGGGAGCAAACGGG
This 253-nucleotide ribosomal RNA is filed under the name uncultured bacterium. RNAcentral's name for it is "partial 16S ribosomal RNA". It matches the Rfam family "Bacterial small subunit ribosomal RNA", at positions 524 to 776 of the family's 1533-position model. The record is from RNAcentral.